Molecule: long non-coding RNA, 1092 nt
Organism: Hippopotamus amphibius kiboko
Lineage: Eukaryota; Metazoa; Chordata; Mammalia; Artiodactyla; Hippopotamidae
Exons: 4
Source: RefSeq, a predicted model, not a curated record
CUGAUCGAACUUGUGCAGAUAAAGAAAUGCAUAUUUGGUCGGAGAAAAAGAUGGCGGUGAAGUAGAGGGACGUGGAAUGCAUCCCCCUCCACAGAUGCAUUGGGAAUGCACCAAAAGACGCAAUAAUUCCCACAGAGAACCAGCUGAACACCAGCAGACAACCUCGGACACCAGAAAGGACCACAAGGAUCCCGACAUAACCGGACCCUCACAGCUGCAGGGGGCACUGGAAGGCCGAAGACCAGACUCUGAUGACCAACAGGAUUCCCACGGCCAACUGAGCUAGGGACCAGUGAGACCUAGAGGGGCCACAGGAGGACUGAAGACCAGACCUGGGGGCACAACAGGCCUCCCAGUGAGAAGACCAACACCCUGGAGGUGCCUUGGAAGGUGGAGGACCCACCCAGAAGAAAUACCUGGUAGUGCCUCCCCUAUUCUUCUGACCUGGGGAGAUCCCUUCCCACAACCACUGUCUGCCUCUCUCCCGCCCCCACACCAUGCCCCCAGGACCCUCAUGCUCUAGGGGGGCUGGGAGAGUGAAGGACCAGGCCCGGGAGCCCAGUCAGCCUUCCUGGCCAACAGGGAGGCGAAAUGACCUCUCGCCUCCCCAUUCCCCAAUUUCAAAGCCCCCACCCCCACCUGCCCACCUCCUUGCCCCUCCUCCCUCCUUCCCACACCCCCAAGUAGCAGGCAGCCCAGAGAGGGUCUUGGAGGGUGGAGGACCCUGCUGGGGAGCCCAGCAGGCCCCUAAGCUGGGGAACUGAGGAGGCCUCAUGGCCUGCUGAGUGGGAGAAACCCAGUUGCAGUUUCGCAAUAUCCCCAACCCCCAAUGGUCCCUCCAGGUGGGAACCUACACCCUCACCCAGCCACCCCCCAGGGGCACUGGUCCCUUCCAGCUUUCCCUUCCCUGCCCCCUGUCUUCACCCAUAUCCCACCCGGUUGUUCCAGGGUUCCUGGGGUCUACUUGGGCCUCAAGUCCCCUGCUGGCCUCUGGCAACUGAUCUACCUGUGGGGAGAUGUGAUCUCCACGUUGUUCCACACAGCCAUCUUGACUCUUGCCCCCCUAUGUUUAUUCUUGAACAAUGAAAUUCU